UAACUAGAAAACCAAACUGAAUAUCUUAUCUCUACAACUAUUACUCUCAAUAUGACAUUGUCCUACUUUUGGAGCAAACAUCUGAGUUGUUUGUUUCCAGCAUAUGUCACUUAUGAUAAACUAGCUUAAAGAUAUAUGACUUUUCAGUUGCAGCAUCACCUGUCUUCUUAUGAUUAUGAUUAUAAUUAAAUAUAAUUUAGAUUUUAAGCCAGUUUCUCUUCUUGCGCAUCAGUCUUUACUCAUCGUGAUAAAUGUGAAAAGGACAUGUGGCAUCGAUGCAAAAGGGAAAAGUUGAGUAUUCUUUACUCUGAUGAUAUUAAGGGUUACAUGAUAUUAAUAUCUAGUUAUGAAAAUUCAGUUGCAUUCUGAAGAGAUUUUCUUUUCUAUUCAAAUGUUUAUUCAUGUCAUGUCUGAUAUGGUGACUUUGUUCCUCUGUAGCUGACAGCUUUGGCCCAGGUCUGUCCUAUUAGAACAGAGCACAGAAGAGCCUGGUGGUGGCGCUGCUGAUCUCUUCUUCAUUCACCUGUUGAGGAGGAGAGAAGAGCCAGCUCAUCUCCUGAAGCUCUAGAGAUGGAGACAUAUUCAUGGAUUGUUGGAUGAUCUCAUGUCCUCCUCCCCAGGGAGCCGGUUUCAGAUGGUGUCUUAGAGUACACUUUCUGUCUAGCACCAUUUGAAAUCGGUGUUCUUGAGUGGGAUCAGUCGUCUGGACGGCACGUACUGUGGUAACACUGCCAAAACCCGUUCAAAUUUCACAAUAUGUUCCUGGUAGCAUUUUUUCCUCCAAGAAGUUAAAAUCCAAGAAAUCUCUAUCAGUGGAUCACCCCCUAACCAAGGCUGACCGUUUUCCUCUGGUGUUCAGAGUUGCCAUCAUGUCUAGCACCAUUUGAAAUCGGUUACAAUGUGGGGGGAAUAUCAACAGAAAGAAACAAUCCCGCCAUUACUGGAUAUCACCACUAGAUGGCGCCACAUACCGCCAGAUACAAUGCGUGAUACUUUUGAGAAAUGUGUUUGAACAAUGACAUUCACCUCUUAACUGUGAGGAAGUUGAAUAGAUAAAGACCCCUGCUUUUUGGGAUAUUAAUAGUAACAUAACAUUCUUUUACUGUCAGGGAUUCGAAGGAGAAGACAGUGAAGGCUGGCGUCAAUUAAGCCUUGUGAACCUAUUCUAAUUGCAGGCUGUCACCUUUCUGCACCUUUUUUGACAGUGCGAUUAUUUUAGAGCAUGUAAUAGUUUAAUAAUGACCUGGCUGCUCCAGUCGCACUUAAUUACGGAGAGCCCUGACUGAGCAAAGGGCCAGGAAUUAGCAUUAAGAAAGGCCAAACUGUCAGCACGGUUAGCCUUCACAGUACACAUGGCUGAACCACAUUAACAUACUGUGAACUAUAAUAAAUUACCCCAAAGUCUUAAUUAAGAUGAAUUAAUGAGUAACCAAAGUUAACACUCCUUAGUGGUUGUUCUCUUGUAAGCCAGCAAGUGUGGGGCAGGUGCAAUCUGAAAAGAACGUACUCACUUAUCUACUUGACAUUAUGUUGCCUUCGCAAAUCUCAGUGUGUACUGAUUUGGAGAGUGCUCCUCCAUGUUUUAAGGGGUAUUUCAGUUUGAACUUUUUGCUGUUGGUUAGUGUUGUCAGAAAACCAAGACAAUUCAGCAUAAGAGCCAAAACUGGCAUCGAGUUCAUUUUACUAUAGGUCAGUAUCUGGGUAUCAAGUGGACAUAGGCAUAUUACACUACUCUUUACUGUUUCUCAACUAGCUCCCAUCCUUUUUUUUUUUUUUUUUUUUUUUUUUUUUUUGAGAUUCUAGCAUCAAGCUACGAGCUGAAUGCUCAAAAGCUGCCACCUGCUUCUAGCCACAGCUAGUGAAGUAAUUAUAGAUUUAUACAAGGUCUAAACAUAGGUUUUUAUACAUUAUAUCAUUACACAGUCCUUCAUUAGUGUUCCCCAUCUGGUGUUUACGACGUAAUAGUUAACAUGGUUUUGAAUGAUGUUUGGCCUACAAAAAUAUGAUGAUAUUUUCAGCUUUUUGUGAUGUUUUUGCAUUUUAUGUUUUAUUAGUGGAACUUUUCUGUAAUCUUGGUCUUUGUAAAUAUGAAUUAAUUCUGAGUUGUAUUGAAGAUCCACUUAUAAUGUUUAUAUACCAGUGCAUUUGGUGCUUGUGCCAAAUCAAGACCUCUACUCAGGCUAAUCAGGUUGGAAUUCAUUUAAAUGAAUGUUGUGUCAGACUUGGAUGAUUUGCUGUGGAACCCGCCUCAUUAUUUAAUCAUUUAGUAUCAACUUAUUUUUGUUUACACAUUUUUGGGUAAAGAAGAAAAUAAAAAGGAUAAAAGUAUUUGUUUGAGCAAGAAUGACUUCUUGCCACAUUGUGGAUCAGCAUUAAAAAUCUGUUCAGUUACUUGCAAUUCAUUUGUAAACACAUCCAGUUGCCAUCUCAACAAAAAUAAGAGUAGUUGAACUUGGUCCUUCGUCCUCAGAGUAACUGACUCACAGGGAGUGCCCACAGACUGUUGUAAUCUCAUCAACACAUGAUCGAUUUUCACUUUAAAGGAGCAACAGUGACUAGCACAUUCACGUAUACCCACUGGAGUUUUCCUUUGACCUCAGUUUAUGUUGCAGUUGAGUCAUACUUGGUGAUGGAAUGCACAAACCAGAGGCAUAUGUUACCUGAUUCAUAUCCAUGAGUGGGUAUGGCAGUACUCUGUUUAAGACGUCAUGAGCAUACGCAAACAAGGGAGUAACAUUUUUGCUGCUUCGAUAUGUAUAUCUUUUUGAUGAGUUUGCCAGGAAAAAGUUGCUACACUGUCUGGAAGAUGGCUUAGGUCAACACGCCCAAAAAUCUCAUAAUCUUCUUCGCUUAACAUGAUUAACAUGUGCUCCUUUUUGUUGAAUGAUGUAUUUCAGUUAGAACAUUUUGCUGUUGGUUUGGUUGGUUUUAUUUUAAUACUAAUUUGGAGGAUGUUUUUUCAUUUUAACAGGGACAGUUAUCUCAAUAUAUCACAUAAACAAUUAAAACAAACAAAAAUAGCUCCAGAUUAAGAUUCUUGAUUAUGAAAGAACCAAGCCCAGACAUAACAUAAUGUAACAUCACUGUUGUGCAGGCCUGUUCACAUGGUAAGGAGUACAAUUGUUGAAAAACUACAGUCAUCGCCAUAUAGUGCACUUACAUGUUAAACAUUAACUUUACUGGUGCUCAACACUGGCCCCUGUGGGAAGCAUUUACACUCUGUCUGUCUAAGUAUUCACAUUUUCAUCCACCACAGUCAUGAGAACUAUCAAAGGAUCAAGAGGAGCUUUGAGAUCAUCAUUACAUGUUUCGUCUGGAGGUGCUUUCAUUGACUCUGUGUUUGAAUUCUUUAGUGAAUCAAAAACAAGCUGACACAAUGUGUUUUGAGUCACCCUGUAGUAAUUGUUAAAACGUAAAAGGACAACAUCCUUUCAAUUGAAGACAGGCCAAGUUAUUUUUUCCACGCUGAAGUUGAUAAUGUGACAAGAGCAGGAAAGAUUGGAACGUCAACGGAAACAAAGCAUGGCAACUAUUGAAGGAAGUCAUUUACACUUAAUUAGGAACAGGCCUCUCAACACAUGAGAUGAAGUCUUCCAUAUGGCAGCAUUUUAUAAGAAAGUACUUAAUCAAGAUGUGCUUCAAGAAAUAUUAUUACUACUGGUCAUUUCAGAGUCAAGAUUGUACUGUUAGUAAUGCUGUGCUCAUUGGAAAAGUUAAGAAAUAGUUACAUUUAGACAUCAGUGUGUAAUAUGUUUUGGUCUCCCCCUAGCCAGUAAAACCAGUGCACACCCAGGUUUAUUGGAGAUUACUGGGUGUAUACUGUAGAUGCAUAUGGUGUAUAUCUUAUGCAUACUUUUUGUUUAUUUAGGGAUUGAAGCUUGCCACACAGGUCGGCCUUACCAAAUAUGAUGGUUUUCUACUGUUAUUAUAAGAACUUCUAUUUUAUCUCCAACCCUGAUCUUAUUGUAAUGCAGUCUUCUUUGAGUGUCAACAUGUAGAAAUUAAGGGCUACAGAAACACAUUGAACAAUAUUUUCAGCCCUAUCCAGAAAAAAAAAAUCAUCUGUUCAAAAGAGGCUAAAUGCUAAGAAUGUAAUAUUUGAUAAGGCAAGAAUUUCUGCUGCCAGGACUAAAACAAAUGGAAAAAAACAUAUUUCUCUAACACACCCAUAUAUACUUUCCAAACAGCACCAAAACUAAGUAAAUUUCUAAAAUAACAAUAAAAAACUUACGCCUUUACACAUACACACCAGUCAUCACAGUGUUAAUAAGCUUUACCAUUCAGCUAUAUUAUUUCAUAGUUUUCUAAAAUGCCGAACAAGCAUAAAACAGGACAUUCAGCCAUUCAGGUCUCAUAAAGCCAAUCAACACCUCGAACUUACUAUUAUUAUUAUUAUUAUUAUUAUUAUUAUUAUUAUUAUUAUUGUUUUUUUUUUUUAUCUCUUUCUGGAUCACUGGGCCUCGGGGAGAACAUUUCCUUCUGUCAUGUGUUUCUCUCACAGGUUUGAAUGACAAAAUAAAGAACCUUGAACCUUGAACCUUGAACCUUGCACCUUGAACGGUCUUCCUUCAAAACAGGACACAGACAAUGGAAAAUGUGAGUAAUCGGGACUGCAUCUGUCUCAACCUCUCUAAAGAUAUAUUUAUUUUUGUCAUACAAUUUUUUUUUCUUUCUUUCUUUUUUUGGAAUUUGAACAUUUUAAUAUUUAGUUCUUUUAUUUAAAGGGUCCAUAUUUCGCUAUUUUCUGAUCUAUGUUAUAAUCUUAUUUCCUCAUCACAGACAUAUCUGGAGUUCUGUUUUUGUUUCAGUCAUACAUGUUUGACAUAAAAACCUGUCAUAUUUAGGCUGAGUUCUUCUCUCAAAUAGAAAAGACUCUGUUCCACCUUGAGAUGUCAUGUGGUAAUACAGGAAGUGCUCCACUGUGUUUUUAAACUCCAAACACCUUCGUUGGUAUUGCCAAUCUUUAGUGAAUUAAAGGUAAAUGGUAGCUGUUAACUUGAAAGCUAUCACUUCAUGACAUCACAUGGUGGAACACAUUUGGAGAUGUAGACAGACUAAUAAAGGGUCACUCAAACAUGUGUGAAUGAAACACAACACAAAUCCAGGUGUGUUUUUGAUGAGGUAACAACAUUCUUACAUGAUUUAAAGCUCACAAAAGUAAAAUUAGCUUUAUCCUUUUCUGAAAAUAUGUCUUUAUCAUUUAUUUUCCUGGCAUAAAGUGUAUAUAUUGUGCUUUGUGGUGCAGGCGUGUCAAAUUUUUCUAUCUAUAAGCAAUGUUAUCAUGGUCACAUUUGAAUUUUAUCUUGAAUUCUAGUUGCUUUGAUGUACAUAGAGCCAUGGGAAUUACUAAAAAGGCAUUGAAGUGAUGGAGAAGACGGUCUUUGUUGAGAGGGGUCAAUCAAAGUGGGUGGUACACAUAGCUGCAGUGUUGUCUAGGUUGUGAGAAAGGUCAUCCCCUGAUCAAGCCUACUGGACUGUGUGUCCAUGAAACUAAGACAAGUGAUAGUAGUGAGGAUAAGAGCUGUUGGUGUAUUUCCUGUUACUGUAAGAUCCAACAUAAGAUGAGUCAUGCAACUUGAAACUGUAAAUCUGAAGUUGAAGUAAAAUACAUUUGUUCUACUACUAUGACUAUUCAACAACUAUUUAGUGUUAACAGUGAGAUCAACUCUUACUGGUGCUACUAGUCACUCCAGGUUACAACUUUUAAAACUAUAAAUGCUGUUUUUCACCAAUUUAGUCAAAGGAAUACACCAACUUCCCAACUUGGUUAAUCAUUGCUGGUAACUUUAUAGGCACCUUGUUUUCCUUUUUUUUAUUUAUGAUGUUACAGAUUAAAGCAGGUAUUACAAUAUGUUUUGCUUUUACUUACAAAUAUAUAGCUGCACUAAGUAACUUGCUGUCUCUAUGGAAACUUAGCUUUGCCUGAAAUGUUAGUUUGAGAGCUAUCUCCAUGUAGACUAGCAUACACCACCAGGCCAAGUUACAAGUCAGAUUUGAGGAGAGAGAACCACUUGACUGAAAGAAUGCAUGUUUCUUUUAACAAUACAAAUGUCUCUACUACUAUAAUGGCAGGUAUGUUUAAUGCCAUUCUGUGAAACAGUCAUAAAAACAUUUGUGUAGACAAACAUGUAGAGGACUAUACCAAUAAAGUUACAUAGUAAAACUUUAACCUUCUUUUGAAUUGCCUGCUUUUAUCUAAUAUGUUCCAUACUGUUAGUGACUUUAGAAAAUGCUGUACAAAUCAGUAUAGGCCUAUAAAGCUGCCAGUAAUGAUUAACCAAAAGCCUUUGGCGGGAAGUCAAGUGUGUUCCUUUGAUUAAGCUGCUAACCAUUUAGCUCUGCACUGUAAUAACCGUCUUUGUACUUGAUCCUAUUACCUUACCUUGGUCUGUCUGCUGCCAUCACACCUCACAGUCCUCUACAGGGGAACAGAAGUUUUGAAGUGGCAUGUGUGGAUGCAUAGGCCUUUACAAAAGGCAUGGGUCACAGUUAGGCCACAACUGUGACCUACUGUUCCUAGAAAUGGUAAAUGGAUAGUUGAAGCCACAACGACAUUUGUAAAUACACAUUUAUGCCAUUAUGGGCCCUGAGUUAAUUAAAAUGUAUAAAAUAAAUUAUUUGUUUAUUGAG
Long non-coding RNA from Boleophthalmus pectinirostris (great blue-spotted mudskipper), 6630 nucleotides. RefSeq lists it as uncharacterized. The transcript is spliced from 2 exons. Lineage: Eukaryota; Metazoa; Chordata; Actinopteri; Gobiiformes; Gobiidae. The record is from RefSeq and is a predicted model, not a curated record.